GAUACCUUUUUUCCCAUUCUCCUUCUCAUCUCUCUCUUCCCUUCGCCCUAGCCGCACUCCCGUAACCACCAUCAUCCUCAGCUCUGACCACCUAAUCACCAUCCUCACAACCGUUUUUCUCCAAGCCAAGCUCCAAAUCUCAGGCACCCGUGAACCCAACCCCUGAACCAAGUGACCCCAAGUGCGAGCCCAUCUCUGCGUGCCUUUGACCUAGUGCAACUUCCAUUCGUGGGCCACCACCAAGCUUACGCUGUUGAGGGGAAGAUGAAAGGGAUCUGUCCAAAAUUUUGCAAGUUUUUGAAGCUAAAGCCCUUUGUCCAUAGCCGAGAAAAAGAAGAAGAAAAGAUGCAGCAGAGAAAAUCAACAUAUGGGAGGCCUACUGGAACGGACGGUUCCAAUUUCUCCUACUGCAUGGUCGUUGAAUCUAGGUAUCAAAGAGUAGCUGAAGGAAAGUCCCACCUCUCUAAGCUAAUUUUUGUUCAGAUUGAGCAUGCCCAGCAUCUUACACCUAGGACUGCAGACCAGUUUGGUGAACUAGGGAUUAUUGCUUCAGUACAGGAUCAAUUCCCUCAUAGUUUGGCAACUUCUUUGGUCAUCUCGUUUUUUACAUGAAAGGAAAAUGACAUGCAAAUCAUUAGAGAUUUGAUCGACUCUGCUAUAGUAGAUAGCAAUGUUCAGGAUGGUCUAAGAUGGCCCUUAGGGAAGAAUGUUUCUAGUGAAAAAUUUUAUGUCUGUUCAGUCAGGCACAUAACCCGUAAAGUAUACAAAAAAUCAUCGUUGAAGCUGAAGAUCAGGAGAACAUCUCUUGACUAUCCAAGAUGGGAAAAUGGAAUAAAGAGUUUAACUUAUGUGAGGAAGUGAAGUCCAAACAUCCAAAGAUUACCUAUGCUGAUCUUUACUAGCUUGCUGGGGUUGUUGUUGUUGAGGUCACUGGAGGUCCAACUAUUGACUUUGUUCCAUGAACAAUCUUUAAAUAAUCAGAUUAAACAAGUGAAGUGCAAAAGAAAAUCUGAUUUGGAAGACUUUGGUGUUCUUACAUUUGGAAGAUCAUGAAUUCCUACUUUUACUUUUGAAUAUGCAACUGUUUAAGAAUAUUUUGUUGACUAUUGUGAGAAUGUUUUGUUUAUGUUAAUUAGUAAGUGUUGAAUAUCUUAAGACUUUUAGAUUGUAUUUUAGAUAAUCUUGAAUGUAUUUUGACACAAUUAUUUGGUUA
RNA transcript from Humulus lupulus (European hop), 1213 nucleotides. RefSeq lists it as uncharacterized. NCBI's taxonomy places the organism in Eukaryota, Viridiplantae, Streptophyta, Magnoliopsida, Rosales, Cannabaceae. The record is from RefSeq and is a predicted model, not a curated record. The transcript has 10 exons.